Molecule: long non-coding RNA, 697 nt
Organism: Apteryx owenii (little spotted kiwi)
Lineage: Eukaryota; Metazoa; Chordata; Aves; Apterygiformes; Apterygidae
Source: Ensembl
CAGUGUCCUCAGGGUGAUGGUGGUGGCCUCGGUGGCCCCACGCUCACUCUGUCCCUAGGGAGUGGUGUCCCCGGUGUCCCCAGGGUGAUGGUGAUGACCGUGGUGGCCCCACACUCACCCUGUCCCCAGGGUGAUGGUGACGACCCCGGUGGCCCCGCACUCGCCCUGCCUCCAGGAGGGUGGCGUCCCCGGGGCGACGGUGGUGGCCUCGGUGGCCCCGCGCUCACCCUGUCCCCGCAGUGGUGUUCGGGGAACACUCCCUGCUCGUCACCGUCUCCGGGCAGAAGCUCUUCGUGGUGAAGCGCCAGAACCACGUCCAGGAGCCCGUCGCCGUGUGAGCCGCCCCGGAGGCCGGCCCGCGUCCCCGCUGUCCCCAGGGCAAGGGGGACGGUCCCCCUCCCCGCUGCCGUCCCCAGGGCUUCGGGGGAUCUGUCCCCUGCGUCCCCAAGGCCCUGCGGUGACACCUACCCGGGUCGCUGCCGUCCCCAAGACCUUCCCAGGUGGACGGUCCCCCACAUCUCUGCUGUCCCCAGGGCCCUGUGGUGUCCCCCGACCAUGUCCCUGCUGUCCCCAAGGCGCUGCGGUGUCCGGCGUCCCCUGUCCCCUGCACGUCCCAGGGCCCUGCGGCGUCACUCUCCAACCGUUGUCCCUCCCUUGAGACAAUAAAUUGUGUCCUGGUCCCGUCCCCGUCCCCCGU